UACAGAGGUCUCAAGCGUUGUUCGGAAUCACUGGGCGUAAAGCGUAUGUAGGCGGGUUUUUAAGUCAGGUGUGAAAUCCCACGGCUCAACCGUGGAAUUGCAUUUGAAACUGGAAAUCUUGAGUGUGGGAGAGAUUGGUAGAAUACCUGGUGUAGUGGUGAAAUACGUAGAUAUCAGGUGGAAUACCGGUGGCGAAGGCGGCCAAUUGGCCCAACACUGACGCUGAGAUACGAAAGCGUGGGGAUCAAACAGG
This 253-nucleotide ribosomal RNA is filed under the name uncultured bacterium. RNAcentral describes it as "partial 16S ribosomal RNA". It matches the Rfam family "Bacterial small subunit ribosomal RNA", at positions 524 to 776 of the family's 1533-position model. The record is from RNAcentral.